RNAcentral lists this ribosomal RNA (567 nucleotides) under Neonectria sp. BESC103e. RNAcentral describes it as "eukaryotic LSU rRNA". It matches the Rfam family "Eukaryotic large subunit ribosomal RNA", at positions 1 to 581 of the family's 3401-position model. Lineage: Eukaryota; Fungi; Ascomycota; Sordariomycetes; Hypocreales; Nectriaceae. The record is from RNAcentral.
ACCUCGGAUCAGGUAGGAAUACCCGCUGAACUUAAGCAUAUCAAUAAGCGGAGGAAAAGAAACCAACAGGGAUUGCCCUAGUAACGGCGAGUGAAGCGGCAACAGCUCAAAUUUGAAAUCUGGCCUUCGGGUCCGAGUUGUAAUUUGUAGAGGAUGCUUUUGGUGAGGUGCCUUCCGAGUUCCCUGGAACGGGACGCCAUAGAGGGUGAGAGCCCCGUCUGGUUGGACACCGAUCCUCUGUAAAGCUCCUUCGACGAGUCGAGUAGUUUGGGAAUGCUGCUCUAAAUGGGAGGUAUAUGUCUUCUAAAGCUAAAUAUUGGCCAGAGACCGAUAGCGCACAAGUAGAGUGAUCGAAAGAUGAAAAGCACUUUGAAAAGAGAGUUAAAAAGUACGUGAAAUUGUUGAAAGGGAAGCGCUCAUGACCAGACUUGGGCUUGGUUGAUCAUCCAGGGUUCUCCCUGGUGCACUCUUCCAGUUCAGGCCAGCAUCAGUUCGCUGUGGGGGAUAAAGGCUUUGGGAAUGUGGCUCCCUCGGGAGUGUUAUAGCCCAUUGUGUAAUACCCUGUGG